This 185-nucleotide non-coding RNA is filed under the name uncultured Mitsuokella sp. Lineage: Bacteria; Bacillati; Bacillota; Negativicutes; Selenomonadales; Selenomonadaceae. The record is from RNAcentral.
GAGCAGGUGCCAUGAGGCAUAAUAGAGAAUCCGGUCAGAAGCCGGAGCGGUCCCGCCACUGUAUGGGGAGUGACGCGCAGGGGAGGCUUUCUUGUUUUGAGAGCCGCCCGGUCACUGGAAAGAGCGAAGUCUUUCUGGGAAGGCGCGCGAAGCGAUGAACCGAGCCAGGAGAACUGCCUGCUUGA